RNAcentral lists this ribosomal RNA (377 nucleotides) under uncultured bacterium. RNAcentral describes it as "bacterial SSU rRNA". It matches the Rfam family "Bacterial small subunit ribosomal RNA", at positions 523 to 898 of the family's 1533-position model. The record is from RNAcentral.
AUACGGAGGGUGCAAGCGUUGCCCGGAAUCACUGGGCGUAAAGCGUACGCAGGCGGCACGUCAAGUCGGGUGUGAAAGCCCGGGGCUCAACCCCGGAGUUGCAUUCGAAACUGGCGCGCUUGAGUGCGGGAGAGGGAAGCGGAAUUCCUGGUGUAGAGGUGAAAUUCGUAGAUAUCAGGAGGAACACCGGUGGCGAAAGCGGCUUCCUGGCCCGACACUGACGCUCAUGUACGAAAGCGUGGGGAGCAAACAGGAUUAGAUACCCUGGUAGUCCACGCCGUAAACGAUGAGCGCUAGCUGCUGGGUUUGUCUACCAUCUCAGUGGCGAAGUUAACGCAUUAAGCACUCCGCCUGGGGACUACGGCCGCAAGGCUAAA